RNAcentral lists this ribosomal RNA (250 nucleotides) under uncultured bacterium. Its description in RNAcentral is "partial 16S ribosomal RNA". It matches the Rfam family "Bacterial small subunit ribosomal RNA", at positions 524 to 773 of the family's 1533-position model. The record is from RNAcentral.
UACGUAGGAUGCAAGCGUUGUUCGGAAUUAUUGGGUGUAAAGGGCGCGUAGGUGGCCCUGUAAGUCAUGGGUGAAAUCCCUCGGCUUAACCGAGGAAUUGCCUAUGAUACUGCAGGGCUUGAGUACGGGAGAGGGAAGUGGAAUUCCUGGUGUAGCGGUGAAAUGCGUAGAUAUCAGGAGGAACACCGGUGGCGAAGGCGGCUUCCUGGACCGAUACUGACACUGAGGCGCGAAAGCGUGGGUAGCAAAC